This 214-nucleotide non-coding RNA is filed under the name uncultured Eubacteriales bacterium. Lineage: Bacteria; Bacillati; Bacillota; Clostridia; Eubacteriales. The record is from RNAcentral.
CGUUAUGACUGCUGGAAACGGCAGGCGCUGGGAUGAGGGAAUCCGGUCAGAGUCCGGAGCAUAACCCGUUGCUGUAUGCGCAGGAGCCUAUUGUUCAUGGCGUGAGCCGGUCAUUGGGGGGUGAUGCCCCUGAGAAGGCGGAACAAGAGGCGCAGGAGCAAUUUUGCUCCCCAAUGCGUGAGCCAGAAGACCGACGAUGUUUGAGACCGAAGGG